Molecule: ribosomal RNA, 254 nt
Filed under: uncultured bacterium
Lineage: Bacteria
Description: partial 16S ribosomal RNA
Rfam family: Bacterial small subunit ribosomal RNA
Source: RNAcentral
GAUCCUGGCUCAGGAUGAACGCUGGCGGCGUGCUUAACACAUGCAAGUCGAACGGGAAUUACUUUAUUGAAACUUCGGUCGAUUUAAUUUAAUUCUAGUGGCGGACGGGUGAGUAACGCGUGGGUAACCUGCCUUGUACAGGGGGAUAACAGUCAGAAAUGACUGCUAAUACCGCAUAAGCGCACAGGACCGCAUGGUCCGGUGUGAAAAACUCCGGUGGUAUAAGAUGGAUCCGCGUUGGAUUAGCUAGUUGG